GGAUUAGAUACCCUGGUAGUCCACGCCCUAAACGAUGUCAACUAGUCGUUGGAGGAAUUUAAUCCUUUAGUGACGCAGCUAACGCGAUAAGUUGACCGCCUGGGGAGUACGGUCGCAAGAUUAAAACUCAAAGGAAUUGACGGGGGCCCGCACAAGCGGUGGAGCAUGUGGUUUAAUUCGAUGCAACGCGAAGAACCUUACCAGCCCUUGACAUGUAGCGAACUUUCUAGAGAUAGAUUGGUGCCUUCGGGAACGCUAACACAGGUGCUGCAUGGCUGUCGUCAGCUCGUGCCG
Molecule: ribosomal RNA, 294 nt
Filed under: uncultured bacterium
Lineage: Bacteria
Description: partial 16S ribosomal RNA
Rfam family: Bacterial small subunit ribosomal RNA
Source: RNAcentral